RNAcentral lists this unclassified non-coding RNA (378 nucleotides) under plant metagenome. RNAcentral's name for it is "partial contains 5.8S ribosomal RNA, internal transcribed spacer 2, and large subunit ribosomal RNA". The stretch from base 1 to 105 matches the Rfam family "5.8S ribosomal RNA", at positions 50 to 154 of the family's 154-position model. The record is from RNAcentral.
GAAAUGAGAUAAGUAAUGUGAAUUGCAGAAUUCAGUGAAUCAUCGAAUCUUUGAACGCACCUUGCGCUCCUUGGUAUUCCUUGGAGCAUGCCUGUUUGAGUAUCAUGAAAUCUUCAAAGUAAAUCUUUUGUUAACUCAAUUGGUUUCUACUUUGGUAUUGGAGGUCUUUGCAGCUUCACACCUGCUCCUCUUUGUUCAUUAGCUGGAUCUCAGUGUUAUGCUUGGUUCCACUCGGCGUGAUAAGUUAUCUAUCACUGAGGACACUGUAAAAGGUGGCCAAGGUAAAUGCAGAUGAACCGCUUCUAAUAGUCCAUUGACUUGGACAAUACUUUUAUGAUCUGAUCUCAAAUCAGGUAGGACUACCCGCUGAACUUAAGC